This 253-nucleotide ribosomal RNA is filed under the name uncultured bacterium. RNAcentral describes it as "partial 16S ribosomal RNA". It matches the Rfam family "Bacterial small subunit ribosomal RNA", at positions 524 to 776 of the family's 1533-position model. The record is from RNAcentral.
UACAGAGGGUGCGAGCGUUAAUCGGAAUUACUGGGCGUAAAGCGCACGUAGUCGGCUUUGCAAGUCGGGUGUGAAAUCCCCGGGCUCAACCUGGGAACUGCAUUUGUGACUGCACGGCUGGAGUGCGGCAGAGGGGGAUGGAAUUCCGCGUGUAGCAGUGAAAUGCGUAGAUAUGCGGAGGAACACCGAUGGCGAAGGCAAUCCCCUGGGCCUGCACUGACGCUCAUGCACGAAAGCGUGGGGAGCAAACAGG